This 657-nucleotide ribosomal RNA is filed under the name uncultured bacterium. RNAcentral describes it as "bacterial SSU rRNA". It matches the Rfam family "Bacterial small subunit ribosomal RNA", at positions 820 to 1486 of the family's 1533-position model. The record is from RNAcentral.
UAGUUCGGGGUACCCCUUCGUUCCGCAGCUAACGCAUUAGUACUCGCCUGGAAGUACGCUCGCAGAGUGAACUCAAAGGAAUUGACGGGACCCGCACAAGUAGCGGAGCAUGUGGUUUAAUUCGAAGCAACGCGAAGAACCUACCUAAGCUUGACAUCCCAAUGACAUCUCCUUAAUCGGAGAGUUCCCUUCGGGGACAUUGGUGACAGGUGGCGCAUGGUUGUCGUCAGCUCGUGUCGUGAGAUGUUGGGUUAAGUCCCGCAACGAGCGCAACCCUUGUCUUUAGUUGCCAUCAUUAAGUUGGGCACUCUAGAGAGACUGCCAGGGAUAACCUGGAGGAAGGUGGGGAUGACGUCAAAUCAUCAUGCCCCUUAUGCUUAGGGCUACACACGUGCUACAAUGGGUAGUACAGAGGGUUGCCAAGCCGUAAGGUGGAGCUAAUCCCUUAACGCUACUCUCAGUUCGGAUUGUAGGCUGAAACUCGCCUACAUGAAGCUGGAGUUACUAGUAAUCGCAGAUCAGAAUGCCGCGGUGAAUGCGUUCCCGGGUCUUGUACACACCGCCCGUCACACCACGGGAGUUGGAGACGCCCGAAGCCGAUUAUCUAACCUUUUGGAAGAAGUCGUCGAAGGUGGAAUCAAUAACACGGGGUGAAGU